GUCACCCCCUCUGCCUGCUGCAAUACAGCAGUAUUGCUACUUACCCGUAACUCAUGGGAGGGUGGGGAGGGCACACCUGAGAGGGAAGUCUGGGCUCAGGCCUCUCCCCCGACUCACUGUGGGUCUAAUCUGUCACCAGAUGCAAUCUGGCACUUUGGCGACAACCAGCUUUAUGUUUCGGGCCCCAAUGGCACAGCCGGCAUCUUUGCUACCUACCCCUCUGGACACUUGGAUAUGAUCAAUGGCUUCUUUGACCAGUUCAUAGGCACAGCCUCCCUUAUCGUGUGUGUGCUGGCCAUUGUUGACCCCUACAACAACCCCGUCCCCCGAGGCCUGGAGGCCUUCACCGUGGGCCUGGUGGUCCUGGUCAUUGGCACCUCCAUGGGCUUCAACUCCGGCUAUGCCGUCAACCCUGCCCGGGACUUUGGCCCCCGCCUUUUUACAGCCCUUGCGGGCUGGGGCUCUGCAGUCUUCACGACCGGCCAGCAUUGGUGGUGGGUGCCCAUCGUGUCCCCACUCCUGGGCUCCAUUGCGGGUGUCUUCGUGUACCAGCUGAUGAUCGGCUGCCACCUGGAGCAGCCCCCACCCUCCAACGAGGAAGAGAAUGUGAAGCUGGCCCAUGUGAAGCACAAGGAGCAGAUCUGAGUGGGCAGGGGACAUCUCCCCACUCUGCUGCCCUGGCCUUGAGCAUCCACAGACUGUCCAAGGGCCACUCCCAAGAAGCCCCCUUCACGAUCCACCCUUUCAGGCUAAGGAGCUCCCUAUCUACCCUCACCCCACGAGACAGCCCCUUCAGGAUUUCCACUGGACCUUGCCCAAAUAGCACCUUAGGCCACUGCCCCUAAGCUGGGGUGGAACCGGAAUUUGGGUCAAUACAUCCUUUUGUCUCCCAAGGGAAGAGAAUGGGCAGCAGGUAUGUGUGUGUGUGCAUAUGUGUGCAGGGGUGUGUGUGUGUGUGUGUGUGUGUGUGUGGUUUCCCAGAUAUUCAGGGCAAGGGACCAGUCGGAAGGGAUUCCGGCUAUUGGGGGAGCCCAAAGACAGGGGAAGGCAGCCUGUCCAUCUGUGCAUAAGGAGAGGAAAGUUCCAGGGUGUGUAUGUUUCAAGGGCUUCACAUGGAGGAGCUGCAGAUAGAUACGUGUUUCUGUGUAUGUGUAUGUCUGCCUUUUUUUCUAAGUGGGGGCUUCUAUAGGCUUUUGGGAAGUAGGGUGGAUGUGGGUAGGGCUGGGAGGAGGGGGCCACAGCUUAGGUUUGGAGCUCUGGAUGUACAUACAUAAGUAGGAGCAGUGGGAAGUGUUUCUGUCAUAAUGCAGGCAUGAAGGGUGGAGUGAAGUCAGGUCAUAAGUUUCAUGUUUGCUUUUGUUUUGUUUUGUUUUUAAUGUACGUAGCAGAUGUUACAGUCUUAGGGAUCCGGGAUGGGAGACCCCACUUUAGAAAGGGUCGUCACUCCUUUAAUCCUCUACUCAACAAUGUACUCUUUUAUCUUUUAUAUUAAAAAAA
This 1497-nucleotide small RNA is filed under the name Pan troglodytes (chimpanzee). Its description in RNAcentral is "processed transcript". The record is from RNAcentral. Lineage: Eukaryota; Metazoa; Chordata; Mammalia; Primates; Hominidae.